UUUUUUUUAGUUGGCGAAGGA
Non-coding RNA from Caenorhabditis elegans, 21 nucleotides. The record is from Ensembl. NCBI's taxonomy places the organism in Eukaryota, Metazoa, Nematoda, Chromadorea, Rhabditida, Rhabditidae.